CUCAAAAUUUCUUUUAGUUUAAAAAUUUUUCGGAGAGUUAAGUCGCGUGGUUAAGGGAAAGUGAAAUGGGGCAAGGCCAUAUAAAGGUUAUGUUUUUUAAAGCAAAGAAAAGUUAAAGUGCAAGUCGGAAGCAAGCGCAAUGAACGGAUUAAAAAUGUGAAAAACACGUGGCGCAGCCAUCUCGUGAGAGAGAGAGACAGCCGCCAUUGCCCUCCAUGAGACAUCUCGUGAGAGAGAGAGAGAGAGAGAAAGACAGCCGGCAUUGCCCUCCAUAGGUCUGCAUAUUGACAAGCCGCCAUCUUUGUGGAUAUCUCUGGGGAAAAUGUGAUCUAGGUUUGCAUAUUGACAAGCCGCCAUCUUUGUGAAUAACUCUGGGGAAAAAUGUGAUCUAGAAUUUGUGGGGCUCGAGAAACUUCUUCGAUUGCAAUUUCUUCGGCAUUAGAUUAUAACAUGGUGCUAGAAGAAUACAAUUACAAAAGAAUUAAUCCGGCAUUAUAAUGUUUUGACAAGACUUGAUUGGAACUGGUACUAAAUUGGUCUUUUAAAGGCAACCAAGACUGCUCUGCUGAUUACUUUAUCGUGCGAGUUCUUAUUGUACAGCGAGUCUGUUUUCUAAGCUCUAACUUGGAUCGACAUUUUAUAUCAAGCUCCUUUAUAUUUGUGAUGAAUGGAUGUGCAAUCAAAAGUCUUUUCUGUGGAAUUCUUUAAUAGCGGAAAAGGAGCCCUCCAAUAAUAAAGAUCUUUCUGUGGAAUACUUUAAUGGCGGCAAGGUAUUCCUGCAAUUAUAAAGAAAUCCAAAAGUCGGUGAAUACUGGGUUUUUGAAGCUUAUAACUCUGAAUAUCUAGAUUGCUGUUGGAAAACCAUUUGAUCGAGAUCUUCGAUGUGGUCCCGAUUUAAGUGAAAAAGGUUGUAUUGUAAAUCUGUAUAACUGAAAACCACACUGUCCAUAUAAAAAAAAUAAAAUAAAAAGAUGAAAGUAAA
Long non-coding RNA from Drosophila subpulchrella, 982 nucleotides. RefSeq lists it as uncharacterized. The record is from RefSeq and is a predicted model, not a curated record. NCBI's taxonomy places the organism in Eukaryota, Metazoa, Arthropoda, Insecta, Diptera, Drosophilidae. The transcript is spliced from 14 exons.